Molecule: transfer RNA, 69 nt
Filed under: Ictidomys tridecemlineatus (thirteen-lined ground squirrel)
Lineage: Eukaryota; Metazoa; Chordata; Mammalia; Rodentia; Sciuridae
Description: Spermophilus tridecemlineatus (thirteen-lined ground squirrel) tRNA
Rfam family: tRNA
About the family: Transfer RNA (tRNA) molecules are approximately 80 nucleotides in length. Their secondary structure includes four short double-helical elements and three loops (D, anti-codon, and T loops). Further hydrogen bonds mediate the characteristic L-shaped molecular structure. tRNAs have two regions of fundamental functional importance: the anti-codon, which is responsible for specific mRNA codon recognition, and the 3' end, to which the tRNAs corresponding amino acid is attached (by aminoacyl-tRNA synthetases). tRNAs cope with the degeneracy of the genetic code in two manners: having more than one tRNA (with a specific anti-codon) for a particular amino acid; and 'wobble' base-pairing, i.e. permitting non-standard base-pairing at the 3rd anti-codon position.
Source: Rfam by way of RNAcentral
GGGGAUGUAGCUCAGUGGUAGAGCACUUGCCUUAUAAGCAUGAGGCCCUGAGUUCAAUUUCUAGUUCUA